Long non-coding RNA from Gorilla gorilla gorilla (western lowland gorilla), 931 nucleotides. RefSeq lists it as uncharacterized. The transcript has 3 exons. The record is from RefSeq and is a predicted model, not a curated record. NCBI's taxonomy places the organism in Eukaryota, Metazoa, Chordata, Mammalia, Primates, Hominidae.
AUCUCUCUCUCCAGGCACAAGCGCUCAAUUAGCUGCACUGACAGAUCUUAAAAGACCACUUGAAUUAAGCAAUUGAAAGUGGUAAAAGUUACAGGUAUCAACUCCUGGAUACAUCACACUGGAGUCAAAGCCUGGAAAGCUGUGGGAGCAACCCCUGACAGCCCCAAGGAACAUCCUGAAUAUCAAUGUGAAUAAAUAGGAGAUCUAAAGCUACAAACCAUAAAAGAAGUAAUCAAACUCCAAAUGGUGCUGCAGACAGAACCAUCCGUGGACACGCCUUUCUUCUGAGGACCCUUAGAUUGACCCCAGGAGGAGCCCUAACUGCUGUUCCCUACACAACACUCCUUUUCAGCAAUAAGUACCAGAGAGACUCAUCAUCCAACACCCCCUAACAGCAGUUAGGGAUACCACUCCUGAGGGGGAAAUGAUACAGGAGCUAAACAUAAAUUAUUUAGGCAGAUUGUGAGGACAAAAGAGUCCUCAGUAAGGUUUCCUUUUAACAAAUAGCAGCCCCAAAAUUAUUUCUAACAAAAAGCAGCCUGAAAAAUCAAGCUGCAAGCAUACAUAAGCAAGCUGGAAGCUUGCGCUGGCAGCUCUGCCAAUAGAAAAGGAAUAGCUGGAAGCCGGCUAUAGUCAGCAUGGAGGUUCCUUUUCCCCUUUUUCACCACAUGUGCAGUAAAAAGCAGACAACAUGGUACCAGUCCAGUAGAGACCCCAUUUGCAUAAUAAAAGAUUACAGUGGGGUGGCCAGUCUCUUUAUCUGCUAUGUAAAUAGCACACUUGAUCCAAUGAAUCCUCUGUGCCCUACAUAAAUCAGACAACACUUCCUCAAGCUCAUAUAUAAAACCAACCCAGAAACCUGUUUGGGACCCCCUUCUCUGAAUGAAGAAGCCCUCUUCUUUCUUUCAACUAUUAAACUUCUGCUCUUUAA